This 368-nucleotide long non-coding RNA is filed under the name Salmo salar (Atlantic salmon). RNAcentral's name for it is "lncRNA (ENSSSAG00000113966.1, ENSSSAG00020040895.1)". The record is from RNAcentral. Lineage: Eukaryota; Metazoa; Chordata; Actinopteri; Salmoniformes; Salmonidae.
GUUACAAUAAGAUAUUACAGUUUUUAAUGUGCCGUUGGGUAGGAUAGUCUUAAAUCGUUGAUCGUCCAGUUUGUUUUCCAAUGAUUGAACGUUGGCCAAUAAUACAGAGGGUAGUGGUGGUUUACCUACUUCUCUGCAAAUUCUUACAAGGAACCCUAUUCUUCUCUCCCCAUCUUUUCUUCAUGCGGUGAUGGGGAUUUGGGACUUGUCUCGACAAAGCAGUAUAUCCUUCACGUCAGACUCGUUAAAGAACAAAUAUUUGUCCAGUUCGAGGUUGCUGGUUCAAGUCAAGGACGAGGCUUCUGAUGUAGAAAGAAGAAAAGAUCCCUCUUAUCAAUGAAGUUCCUGAGGUUCAAGGAUGAGGUAGC